AUCUCAAACCUGCAUAGCCAUGGUUGCAGAAGAAGAAGAAGAAGACUUGAAGAUUUAAGAUCUGAAAUCUGAAGCUGAAGAAGAAGAAUAAAGAGAGAGAGAAUUGUUUUGAGAUUGGUGAGAGAGUUGUUGUUUAU
This 137-nucleotide small RNA is filed under the name Arabidopsis thaliana (thale cress). RNAcentral describes it as "ATSL281300". The record is from RNAcentral. Lineage: Eukaryota; Viridiplantae; Streptophyta; Magnoliopsida; Brassicales; Brassicaceae.